RNAcentral lists this ribosomal RNA (460 nucleotides) under uncultured bacterium. Its description in RNAcentral is "partial 16S ribosomal RNA". It matches the Rfam family "Bacterial small subunit ribosomal RNA", at positions 338 to 794 of the family's 1533-position model. The record is from RNAcentral.
CCUACGGGUGGCUGCAGUGAGGAAUAUUGGUCAAUGGCCGUAAGGCUGAACCAGCCAAGUCGCGUGAAGGAAGAAGGAUCUAUGGGCGUUAAACUUCUUUUGUGCGGGAGCAAUAAUGGUCACGUGUGGCCAGACGAGAGUACCGUACGAAUAAGCAUCGGCUAACUCCGUGCCAGCAGCCGCGGUAAUACGGGGGAUGCAAGCGUUAUCCGGAUUUAUUGGGUUUAAAGGGUGCGUAGGCUGUGAGGUAAGUCAGCGGUGAAAUGCCCCCGCUCAACGGGGUGAAGUGCCAUUGAUACUGCCUUGCUGGAAUGCGGAUGCCGUGGGAGGAAUGUGUGGUGUAGCGGUGAAAUGCAUAGAUAUCACACAGAACACCGAUUGCGAAGGCAUCUCACGAAUCCGCGAUUGACGCUGAUGCACGAAAGCGUGGGUAUCAAACAGGAUUAGAUACCCUUGUAGU